RNAcentral lists this unclassified non-coding RNA (334 nucleotides) under soil metagenome. RNAcentral describes it as "partial contains 5.8S ribosomal RNA, internal transcribed spacer 2, and large subunit ribosomal RNA". The stretch from base 1 to 120 matches the Rfam family "5.8S ribosomal RNA", at positions 35 to 154 of the family's 154-position model. The record is from RNAcentral.
GAUGAAGAACGCAGCGAAAUGCGAUAAGUAAUGUGAAUUGCAGAAUUCAGUGAAUCAUCGAAUCUUUGAACGCACAUUGCGCCCCGUGGUAUACCGCGGGGCAUGCCUGUUCGAGCGUCAUUACACCACUCAAGCCUCGCUUGGUAUUGGGCGACGCGGUACGCCGCGCGCCUCAAAUCUUCCGGCUGGUUCGAAUCGUCCCUCAGCGUUGUGGAAACUAUUCGCUAAAGGUGCGCGUUUCGGUCACGCCGUUAAACAAGCCAAUUUCAUUAAAGGUUGACCUCGGAUCAGGUAGGGAUACCCGCUGAACUUAAGCAUAUCAAUAAGCGGAGGA